RNAcentral lists this ribosomal RNA (1367 nucleotides) under uncultured phototrophic eukaryote. RNAcentral's name for it is "bacterial SSU rRNA". It matches the Rfam family "Bacterial small subunit ribosomal RNA". The record is from RNAcentral.
UAUGGCUCAGGAUGAACGCUGGCGGCAUGCUUUACACAUGCAAGUUGAACGAAUUAAAGUUUUCGAAUUUUAGUUAAGUAGCGAACGGGUGAGUAAAACGUAAGAAUCUAUUUUUAGGUGAGGAAUAACUAAUGGAAACGUUAGCUAAUACCUUAUAAACUGAGAAGUGAAAAACUAAAAAUUGCCUAAAAGUGAGCUUGCGCCUGAUUAGCUUGUUGGUAAGAUAAUCGCUUACCAAAGCGACGAUCAGUAGUUGAUCUAGGAGGAUAAUCAACCACACUGGGACUGAGAUACGGCCCAGACCUCUACGGAGGGCAGCAGUGAGGAAUUUUCCGCAAUGGGCGAAAGCCUGACGGAGCAAUGCCGCGUGAAGGAUGAAGGCCUAUGGGUCGUAAACUUCUUUUCUUAAUGAAGAAAUAAGACGGUAAUUAAGGAAUAAGCAUCGGCUAACUCCGUGCCAGCAGCCGCGGUAAUACGGAGGAUGCAAGCGUUAUCCGGAAUUAUUGGGCAUAAAGGGUUUGUAGGCUACUUUUUAAGUCUACUGUUAAAGAAUAAGACUUAACCUUAGAAAAGCAGUAUGAAACUAAAAGGAUAGAGUUCAGUAGGGGUAGAGGGAAUUCUCGGUGUAGUAGUGAAAUGCGUAGAUAUCGAGAGGAACACCAAUAGCGAAAGCACUCUACUAGGCUGUAACUGACGCUAAGAAACGAAAGCUAGGGGAGCCAAAGGGAUUAGAUACCCCAGUAGUCCUAGCUGUAAACGAUGGAUACUAAGUAUUGGAUAAUAAAAAAUUCAGUGCUGUAGCUAACGCGUUAAGUAUCCCGCCUGGGGAGUAUGCCCGCAAGGGUGAAACUCAAAGGAAUUGACGGGGGCCCGCACAAGCGGUGGAGCACGUGGUUUAAUUCGAUGCAACGCGAAAAACCUUACCAGGAUUUGACAUCCCAUAUUUUUUUUCUAGAAAUAGAAAAAUUGACGUGGAGACAGGUGGUGCAUGGCUGUCGUCAGCUCGUGUCGUGAGAUGUUGGGUUAAGUCCCGUAACGAGCGCAACUCUUGUCUUUAGUUCGAUAGUCUAAAGAAACUGCCGAUAAUAAAUCGGAGGAAGGUGAGGAUGACGUCAAGUCAGCAUGCCCCUUAUAUUCUGGGCGACACACGUGCUACAGUGGUUAAGACAAUGGGAUGCAAACUUGUAAAAGGAAGCUAACCUCAAAAACUUAAUCGAAGUUCGGAUUGUCGACUGAAACUCGUCGACAUGAAGCUGGAAUCGCUAGUAAUCGCCGGUCAGCCACACGGCGGUGAAUACGUUCUCGGGCCUUGUACACACCGCCCGUCACGUUAGGGAAGCUGAUUACGCCCGAAGUCAUUAAUUUAA